Molecule: ribosomal RNA, 229 nt
Filed under: uncultured bacterium
Lineage: Bacteria
Description: partial 16S ribosomal RNA
Rfam family: Bacterial small subunit ribosomal RNA
Source: RNAcentral
UGCGUAGGCGGACUAAUAAGUCAGUGGUGAAAUCUUUCGGCUCAACCGAGAAACUGCCAUUGAUACUGUUAGUCUUGAGUUCGGUUGAGGUAGGCGGAAUGUGUAAUGUAGCGGUGAAAUGCUUAGAUAUUACACAGAACACCAAUUGCGUAGGCAGCUUACUAGACCGACACUGACGCUGAGGCGCGAAAGCGUGGGGAGCGAACAGGAUUAGAUACCCUGGUAGUCC